GGCGCUGUAGCUCAGUAGUAGAGUGCUUGCCUCUCAUGCAUGAGGCAUUGGGUUCAAUCCUCAGCACCA
RNAcentral lists this transfer RNA (69 nucleotides) under Ictidomys tridecemlineatus (thirteen-lined ground squirrel). RNAcentral describes it as "Spermophilus tridecemlineatus (thirteen-lined ground squirrel) tRNA". It matches the Rfam family "tRNA". Rfam says of the family: Transfer RNA (tRNA) molecules are approximately 80 nucleotides in length. Lineage: Eukaryota; Metazoa; Chordata; Mammalia; Rodentia; Sciuridae. The record is from Rfam by way of RNAcentral.